This 193-nucleotide ribosomal RNA is filed under the name uncultured Burkholderia sp. RNAcentral's name for it is "partial 16S ribosomal RNA". It matches the Rfam family "Bacterial small subunit ribosomal RNA", at positions 339 to 524 of the family's 1533-position model. Lineage: Bacteria; Pseudomonadati; Pseudomonadota; Betaproteobacteria; Burkholderiales; Burkholderiaceae. The record is from RNAcentral.
CUACGGGAGGCAGCAGCGGGGAAUAUUGCACAAUGGGCGCAAGCCUGAUGCAGCCAUGCCGCGUGUGUGAAGAAGGCCUUCGGGUUGUAAAGCACUUUUGUCCGGAAAGAAAUCCCUGGCUCUAAUACAGUCGGGGGAUGACGGUACCGGAAGAAUAAGCACCGGCUAACUACGUGCCAGCAGCCGCGGUAAU